Molecule: long non-coding RNA, 779 nt
Organism: Lutra lutra (Eurasian river otter)
Lineage: Eukaryota; Metazoa; Chordata; Mammalia; Carnivora; Mustelidae
Exons: 7
Source: RefSeq, a predicted model, not a curated record
AAGCCAAUCUUCAAAUUCAUAUGGAAAUGUAAGGGCUCUAAAUAGACAAAACAAUCUUGAAAAAGAAGAACGAAGUUGGAGGACUCACACUUUCUGAUUUCAAAACUUACUACAAAGUUACAUAAUCACAACAAUGUGCUACUGGAAUAAGAACAGAUAUACAGAUCCAUAGAAUUUUCUCCAAGGUGGAUUGUGUUGCUGCUGUCAAGUGUUUGAAUGAAUGCUCCAGACAUCUCAAAUUACUAUAUUCCAGUCCUAGGACUUGAGAUUUUCUGGGCCACAGAUGAUUAUUAGGUUUUGACAGCAUCUGUACCUCUACAUCAUGCCGAAAGAUGAGAAACAACUUCCAGAAGUGUUCUUGAGCUGUAAAUGUGCCUUUGCUGUGGCCAUCGCUAUUACCCCUGUGAAGGACGGGAAUUUUCCACACGAGUCUGAGAAGAUUAAAAUGACAUGAAGAGAAAGGUAUGGCCCAGCUGGUCGACCAGCCUCAGUCUGCUCUGAGCCGAGGCCCUCGUUUCCCAUUUCACCACACCCAGAUGUGCCCUCUGACUUGGAAAUGGAGAUUGAAUUUAGUUGUAAGAAGAGUGGAAGCAGAGAAUGAAGGAGGAAAGUGCCUGAGUUUUGGCUGAAUGCCUCCUCCCAGUGGAAGGAAAAUCAAAGAAAAUUUCUCCAGUUUAGGCCCAGUGGAUGGCCUAUAAUCCAGAGAAAGGCAAAAGACAGAAAUGAUACACGCAACUUGGCGGAGAGAGACAAGCCAGAAGAUUGGGAAAUUAUGAAGG